GACAGAGGGUGCAAACGUUGUUCGGAAUUACUGGGCGUAAAGCGCGUGUAGGCGGCUGCGCAAGUCGGAUGUGAAAUCCCAUGGCUCAACCAUGGAAGUGCACCCGAAACUGCGCAGCUUGAGUCUCGGAGAGGAAGGCGGAAUGCUUGGUGUAGAGGUGAAAUUCGUAGAUAUCAAGCGGAACACCGGUGGCGAAGGCGGCCUUCUGGACGAUGACUGACGCUGAGACGCGAAAGCGUGGGGAGCAAACAGG
Molecule: ribosomal RNA, 253 nt
Filed under: uncultured bacterium
Lineage: Bacteria
Description: partial 16S ribosomal RNA
Rfam family: Bacterial small subunit ribosomal RNA
Source: RNAcentral